This 509-nucleotide ribosomal RNA is filed under the name uncultured bacterium. RNAcentral describes it as "bacterial SSU rRNA". It matches the Rfam family "Bacterial small subunit ribosomal RNA", at positions 36 to 518 of the family's 1533-position model. The record is from RNAcentral.
CUGGCGGCGUGCCUAAUACAUGCAAGUCGAACGGUCUUUCUAUGGAAGCUUGCUUCCACUGAGAAGAUAGUGGCGAACGGGUGAGUAACACGUGGGUAACCUGCCCAUAAGAGGGGGAUAACAUCCGGAAACGGGUGCUAAUACCGCAUAGUUUUCUUGAUCGCAUGAUCGGGAAAGGAAAGACGGCCUUUGUGCUGUCGCUUAUGGAUGGACCCGCGGCGUAUUAGUUAGUUGGUGAGGUAACGGCUCACCAAGGCGAUGAUACGUAGCCGACCUGAGAGGGUGAUCGGCCACAUUGGGACUGAGACACGGCCCAAACUCCUACGGGAGGCAGCAGUAGGGAAUCUUCCGCAAUGGACGAAAGUCUGACGGAGCAACGCCGCGUGAGUGAAGAAAGGUUUUCGGAUCGUAAAACUCUGUUGUCAGAGAAGAACAAGUUGGAGAGUAACUGCUCCAGCCUUGACGGUAUCUGACCAGAAAGCCACGGCUAACUACGUGCCAGCAGCGGC